Molecule: ribosomal RNA, 468 nt
Filed under: uncultured bacterium
Lineage: Bacteria
Description: partial 16S ribosomal RNA
Rfam family: Bacterial small subunit ribosomal RNA
Source: RNAcentral
GACGAACGCUGGCGGCGUGCUUAACACAUGCAAGUCGAACGGAAAGGCCCUGCUUUUGUGGGGUGCUCGAGUGGCGAACGGGUGAGUAACACGUGAGUAACCUGCCCUUGACUUUGGGAUAAUUUCAGGAAACUGGGGCUAAUACCGGAUAGGAGCUCCUGCUGCAUGGUGGGGGUUGGAAAGUUUCGGCGGUUGGGGAUGGACUCGCGGCUUAUCAGCUUGUUGGUGGGGUAGUGGCUUACCAAGGCUUUGACGGGUAGCCGGCCUGAGAGGGUGACCGGCCACAUUGGGACUGGGAUACGGCCCAGACUCCUACGGGAGGCAGCAGUGGGGAAUAUUGCAAAAUGGGCGGAAGCCUGAUGCAGCAACGCCGCGUGGGGGAUGACGGCCUUCGGGUUGUAAACCGCUUUCGCCUGUGACGGAGCGUGAGGGACGGUAAUGGGUAAAGAAGCACCGGCUAACUACGUG